RNAcentral lists this ribosomal RNA (168 nucleotides) under uncultured Pseudomonas sp. RNAcentral's name for it is "partial 16S ribosomal RNA". It matches the Rfam family "Bacterial small subunit ribosomal RNA", at positions 355 to 508 of the family's 1533-position model. Lineage: Bacteria; Pseudomonadati; Pseudomonadota; Gammaproteobacteria; Pseudomonadales; Pseudomonadaceae. The record is from RNAcentral.
UGGGGAUUAUUGGACAAUGGGCGAAAGCCUGAUCCAGCACAUGCCGCGUGCUGUGAAGAAGGUCUUCGGAUUGUAAAGCACUUUAAGUUUGGGAGGAAGGGCACUAAGUUAAUACCUGUGACUGUUUUGACGUUACCGACAGAAUAAGCACCGGCCUAACUGCUGUGC